UACGUAGGGGGCUAGCGUUGUCCGGAAUCAUUGGGCGUAAAGCGCGUGUAGGCGGUCCGGUAAGUCCGCUGUGAAAGUCGGGGGCUCAACCCUCGAAUGCCGGUGGAUACUGUCGGGCUAGAGUGCGGAAGAGGCGAGUGGAAUUCCUGGUGUAGCGGUGAAAUGCGCAGAUAUCAGGAGGAACACCUAUGGCGAAGGCAGCUCGCUGGGACGUAACUGACGCUGAGACGCGAAAGCGUGGGGAGCAAACAGG
RNAcentral lists this ribosomal RNA (253 nucleotides) under uncultured bacterium. Its description in RNAcentral is "partial 16S ribosomal RNA". It matches the Rfam family "Bacterial small subunit ribosomal RNA", at positions 524 to 776 of the family's 1533-position model. The record is from RNAcentral.